ACUCAGUUGGUAGAGUACAAAGCUCUUAACCUUAUGGACGUGGGUUCAAGCCCCAU
This is a non-coding RNA of Triticum aestivum (bread wheat), 56 nucleotides long. The record is from Rfam. Lineage: Eukaryota; Viridiplantae; Streptophyta; Magnoliopsida; Poales; Poaceae.